This 328-nucleotide long non-coding RNA is filed under the name Jatropha curcas. RNAcentral's name for it is "long non-coding RNA (JCUR_LNC000656)". The record is from RNAcentral. Lineage: Eukaryota; Viridiplantae; Streptophyta; Magnoliopsida; Malpighiales; Euphorbiaceae.
AUUCGAGUUCUCUCAAGUUCUGCUUGAAGCAACUCAGCGCUACACUGCUGAGCAAGAGCCUGAAAUGCAGAGAGAACAUUAAAAGAAUAGGUGAUAACACAAUUAUAACUUUCUAUUUGUAUGAUUACGGCUGGUGCUAUUAAUUCUAAGCAUAUAGACUAAGCAUAUUAUCUGACCGACAAGGAAUUUGAUUCUUACAAUUAGGUCAUCUGGAGACACAGUCAUGCCCUGCUGCCUGUCAUCAAGUGCAUCCUCGCUCCCACGAGUUGAUCUCCGUUGAUGACCUGGAUUUUCUGCAGCUUCAGUGACAUGUUCAGUUGCCUUCUCU